UACGUAGGGGGCAAGCGUUGUCCGGAUUUAUUGGGCGUAAAGAGCGUGUAGGCGGCUUUACAGGUCCGUUGUGAAAACUCGAGGCUCAACCUCGAGACGCCGGUGGAAACCGUAAAGCUAGAGUCCGGAAGAGGAGAGUGGAAUUCCUGGUGCAGCGGUGAAAUGCGCAGAUAUCGGGAGGAACACCGGUGGCGAAGGCGGUUCUCUGGGCCUUACCUGACACUGAGGAGCGAAAGCGUGGGGAGCGAACAGG
RNAcentral lists this ribosomal RNA (253 nucleotides) under uncultured bacterium. RNAcentral's name for it is "partial 16S ribosomal RNA". It matches the Rfam family "Bacterial small subunit ribosomal RNA", at positions 524 to 776 of the family's 1533-position model. The record is from RNAcentral.